RNAcentral lists this ribosomal RNA (580 nucleotides) under uncultured rumen bacterium. RNAcentral describes it as "bacterial SSU rRNA". It matches the Rfam family "Bacterial small subunit ribosomal RNA", at positions 182 to 760 of the family's 1533-position model. The record is from RNAcentral.
GGGUUCGCAUGGAUCUUGUUUGAAAGAUUAAUCGGUUGCGGAUUGGCUCGCGUCCCAUUAGCUAGUCGGCGGGGUAACGGCCCACCGAGGCGACGAUGGGUAGGGGUUCUGAGAGGAAGGUCCCCCACAAUGGAACUGAGACACGGUCCAUACUCCUACGGGAGGCAGCAGUGAGGAAUAUUGGUCAAUGGGCGGAAGCCUGAACCAGCCAUGCCGCGUGCAGGACGACGGCCCUAUGGGUUGUAAACUGCUUUUGCGAGGGAGCAAUAAGGGCCUCGAGCAGGUCCGAUGAGAGUACCUUGCGAAUAAGCAUCGGCUAACUCCGUGCCAGCAGCCGCGGUAAUACGGAGGAUGCGAGCGUUAUCCGGAUUUAUUGGGUUUAAAGGGUGCGUAGGCUGUUAGUUAAGUCAGGGGUGAAAUGCCGGUGCUCAACGCCGGAGCUGCCCUUGAUACUGGCUGGCUGGAGUGCGGAUGCCGUUGGAGGAAUGAGUGGUGUAGCGGUGAAAUGCUUAGAGAUCACUCAGAACACCGAUUGCGAAGGCAUCUGACGAAUCCGUCACUGACGCUGAGGCACGAAAGC